Molecule: ribosomal RNA, 460 nt
Filed under: uncultured bacterium
Lineage: Bacteria
Description: partial 16S ribosomal RNA
Rfam family: Bacterial small subunit ribosomal RNA
Source: RNAcentral
CCUACGGGUGGCCGCAGUGAGGAAUAUUUGUCAAUGGUCGAGAGUCUGAACCAGCCAAGUCGCGUGAAGGAUGACUGCCCUAUGGGUUGUAAACUUCUUUUAUAAAGGAAUAAAACGAGGCACGUGUGCCUUUUUGCAUGUACUUUAUGAAUAAGGAUCGGCUAACUUCGUUCCAGCAGCCGCGGUAAUACGGAGGAUCAGUGCGUUUUCAGGAUUUGUUGGGUUUAAAGGGAGCGUAGAUGGUUUGUUAAGUCAGUUGUGAAAGGUGACGGCUCAACCCCAAGAUUGCAAUUGAUAAUGGGAGUCUUGAGUACAGUUGAGGUAGGCGGAAUGCGUGGUGUAGCGGUGAAAUGCUGAGAUAUCACGAAGAACCCCGAUGGCGAAGGCAGCUUACUAACCUGUGACUGACGUUGAUGCACGAAAGUGUGGGUAUCAAACAGGAUUAGAUACCCUGGUAGUC